GGAAGCUACUCUGACUAAUGCCAAUUGUGAUGGCAACUGUCCGACAUCCAUGGCUUUACGUGAUAGAAUUGCAGCAUUGGUGACAGAGAACAAAACCCUCAAACAAGAAUUAGCACUGCAUCAGGUGUCAUUUGAUUAUACCUUAGGCUGUAUUGUUCCUUCGUGCCACGUAAACCGAAAUGCAAGCAGUUGUUUAGCCACAUGGUGUGGACAAGCGCUGUUGGACUAUGAGGACCAAGAACACCCUUCUGCCACAUGAUAUCAAUGUCAUGGUCGCUUCCGGUCCAGGCUAUUGAUACUUAUCGGCCCAUACUCUGUUCCAUCUUGGCGUUGCAGGGAUAGAAUAAUGUAGCAAUAUGCUCGUCAAGGCCAUCGACAUCCAACUGAUGCAUUUCCCUGGUCUCACCCUUUUUCAGUAGAAACCUUUUUUGUGUCAUUUACUUUUUUUAAUGUGUUUUUGUUUUCUUCUUUGAUGAUGUACUGUCUGACAUCAGAAAGCUCAAUGUUUUUAAAAUCAUUUGGAAUUGACUGGGUAAAAUGUUUGGCUUCAUUUUGAUCUGUUGUAAUUUUGAUAAUCAUAAUUUGACACAGGGGGAGUGGUCUCAGUUAAAUCCUCGUCAAAUUGAAGUGCAUUUAUUCCAUAUUUUUGCUCAAAUUCUUCAAAACUUAUUUUCAAAACAUCUUGAAUAGUGUCAUUUGAAAACAAACCAUCCCAUACCACAUAAACAUUCGCUUGUUCUUGGUUGAAAAUUGUUGUCAAAAUUUACUUAAUUUGCCGAAAUAUGUUUUGCUGCAGUUUUAUUUAAAUUCUUGAUUGUGUAUUAUUUAUUUUUUCAUUAUUUAAAGCACAAUUGACAUUUAAGACUUAAGCAGACAUCUUGUUUUGCUGCUGAGAUAUUAAAUA
This is a long non-coding RNA of Dreissena polymorpha, 904 nucleotides long. RefSeq lists it as uncharacterized. Lineage: Eukaryota; Metazoa; Mollusca; Bivalvia; Myida; Dreissenidae. The record is from RefSeq and is a predicted model, not a curated record. The transcript is spliced from 3 exons.